RNAcentral lists this ribosomal RNA (271 nucleotides) under uncultured bacterium. RNAcentral describes it as "partial 16S ribosomal RNA". It matches the Rfam family "Bacterial small subunit ribosomal RNA", at positions 85 to 354 of the family's 1533-position model. The record is from RNAcentral.
UAUUAUUUUAGCGGCGGACGGGUGAGUAACGUGUGGGUAACCGGCCUUUUACUGGGGAAUAAUCACUGGAAACGGUGACUAAUACCGCAUACGGUUCUUGGAAGGCAUCUUCUGAGAAAGAAAGGAUUUAUUCGGUAAAAGAUGGGCCCGCAUCUGAUUAGCUAGUUGGUGAGAUAACAGCCCACCAAGGCGACGAUCAGUAGCCGACCUGAGAGGGUGACCGGCCACAUUGGGACUGAGACACGGCCCAAACUCCUACGGAAGGCAGCAG